This 577-nucleotide ribosomal RNA is filed under the name Filobasidium uniguttulatum. RNAcentral describes it as "LSU rRNA". It matches the Rfam family "Eukaryotic large subunit ribosomal RNA", at positions 88 to 653 of the family's 3401-position model. Lineage: Eukaryota; Fungi; Basidiomycota; Tremellomycetes; Filobasidiales; Filobasidiaceae. The record is from RNAcentral.
GGCGAGCGAAGCGGGAAGAGCUCAAAUUUGAAAUCUGGUGGCCUCAGGUCAUCCGAGUUGUAAUCUAUAGAAGUGUUUUCCGUGCUGGCCCAUGUACAAGUCCCUUGGAACAGGGCGUCAUAGAGGGUGAGAAUCCCGUCCUUGACAUGGACUACCAGUGCUCUGUGAUACACUUUCAACGAGUCGAGUUGUUUGGGAAUGCAGCUCAAAAUGGGUGGUAAAUUCCAUCUAAAGCUAAAUAUUGGCGAGAGACCGAUAGCGAACAAGUACCGUGAGGGAAAGAUGAAAAGCACUUUGGAAAGAGAGUUAAACAGUAUGUGAAAUUGUUGAAAGGGAAACGAUUGAAGUCAGUCGUGCUCAAUGGACUCAGCCGUUCUGCGGUGUAUUUCCAUUGGGUGGGGUCAACAUCAGUUUUGAUCGCUGGAUAAAGGCAGGAGGAAUGUAGCACCCCCGGGUGAACUUAUAGCCUCUUGUCACAUACAGUGGUUGGGACUGAGGAACGCAGCAUGCCUUUAUGGCCGGGAUUCGUCCACGUACAUGCUUAGGAUGUUGACAUAAUGGCUUUAAACGACCCGUC